Echinops telfairi (small Madagascar hedgehog) is the source of this 241-nucleotide long non-coding RNA. RefSeq lists it as uncharacterized. The transcript has 3 exons. The record is from RefSeq and is a predicted model, not a curated record. Lineage: Eukaryota; Metazoa; Chordata; Mammalia; Afrosoricida; Tenrecidae.
CUGUGAGAUUCCUGGUGGAGGAUGAGGAUGCGGCAGGCUGUAGCAGAGGACACGCUCAAGGACGGAGUAGCUCUGCAGAGCAUGGGAAGAGAGUGGGUGAAGGAACCCGGCCAGUUCCUGAUGAGCCUGAGGAAGAAUGGCCAUGGGCUGAAGUGGUCGAGAGAGAUGUGGGGAAGGAACUGGACAACUAUAUGGCACAAACGAAAGGUGAGUUUCAGGAAACAGUCGGGUUCCAACAAAG